UACGACUACAUAUCAGGCAUAUCAAUAAGCGGAGGAAAAGAAACUAACUAGGAUUCCCCUUAGUAACGGCGAGUGAAGCGGGAAGAGCUCAAAUUUGAAAUCUUCAAGGGUUCUACCUUGACGAAUUGUAGUUUAAAGAAGUGUUUUCUGUUGGAGUUUUCGGUAAAAGUUCUUUGGAAUAGGACAUCAUAGAGGGUGAGAAUCCCGUAUUUGACCGUAUUUCUUCCAGCUGUGUGAUACACUUUCAAAGAGUCGGAUUGUUUGGGAAUGCAGUCCAAAAUGGGUGGUAAAUUUCAUCUAAAGCUAAAUAUUGGCGAGAGACCGAUAGCGAACAAGUACCGUGAGGGAAAGAUGAAAAGAACUUUGAAAAGAGAGUUAAACAGUACGUGAAAUUGUCAAAAGGGAAGCGUUUGACACCAGUGUUGUUUUCUCGAAAAUCAAUUAAAAAAUGACUCGGAUUUUGUGUUGUAUUGACUUUAUCAGCUUUCUGCACUUUUUUCUUGUCUUUUUUAAUGCACUUUUCGUUUAACAAGUCAACAUCAAUUUCUUUUGUUGUAAAAAGGGUCAUUGGAAGGUGGCUUUCCUUUCGGAUGAAAGUGUUUAUAGCCUUUGACUUCCUGCAAUCGGAGAGAUUGAGGUCUGCAGCGUAGAUCCUUCUUGGAUUAGAUUCAUUUGUGCUAAGUUAUAGCUUUUCUAUAGACAACUUGUUGACUAUAUUUAGUCUUGUAACUUACUCGCUUAUGUAAUUUUACCUACGCUUAGGAUGUUGACGCGCGUGUGUGCGUGC
Molecule: ribosomal RNA, 787 nt
Filed under: uncultured Neocallimastigales
Lineage: Eukaryota; Fungi; Neocallimastigomycota; Neocallimastigomycetes; Neocallimastigales
Description: partial large subunit ribosomal RNA
Rfam family: Eukaryotic large subunit ribosomal RNA
Source: RNAcentral